GGUGCCUGUUGAGUAUCAUGAACACCUCAACUCUUCAUGGUUUUCUGUGAUGAGCUUGGACUUUGGGGGUUUUGCUGGCCUACAGUCAGCUCCUCCAAAAUGAAUCAGCUUGCCAGUGUUUGGUGGGCAUCACAGGUGUGAUAACUAUCUACGCUUGUGGUUUUCCACCAGGUAACCUUCAGCAGUGGAGGUUCACUGGAGCUCACAGACGUCUCUCCUCAGCGAGGACAGCUCUUUGAAUGUUUGAUCUCAAAUCAGGUAGGACUACCCGCUGAACUUAAGCAUAUCAAUAAGCGGAGG
This 300-nucleotide ribosomal RNA is filed under the name uncultured Tomentella. RNAcentral's name for it is "eukaryotic LSU rRNA". The stretch from base 245 to 300 matches the Rfam family "Eukaryotic large subunit ribosomal RNA", at positions 1 to 56 of the family's 3401-position model. The record is from RNAcentral. Lineage: Eukaryota; Fungi; Basidiomycota; Agaricomycetes; Thelephorales; Thelephoraceae.